RNAcentral lists this ribosomal RNA (287 nucleotides) under uncultured bacterium. Its description in RNAcentral is "partial 16S ribosomal RNA". It matches the Rfam family "Bacterial small subunit ribosomal RNA", at positions 335 to 636 of the family's 1533-position model. The record is from RNAcentral.
UUUCCUACGGGAGGCAGCAGUGGGGAAUAUUGGACAAUGGGGGGAACCCUGAUCCAGCGACGCCGCGUGAGUGAAGAAGUAUUUCGGUGUGUAAAGCUCUAUCAGCAGGGAAGAAAGAAAUGACGGUACCUGACUAAGAAGCCCCGGCUAACUACGUGCCAGCAGCCGCGGUAAUACGUAGGGGGCAAGCGUUAUCCGGAUUUACUGGGUGUAAAGGGAGCGUAGACGGUUACGCAAGUCUGGAGUGAAAGGCGGGGGCCCAACCCCCGGACUGCGUUGGAAACGGU